This 87-nucleotide transfer RNA is filed under the name Plantactinospora alkalitolerans. RNAcentral's name for it is "Plantactinospora sp. S1510 tRNA-Ser". It matches the Rfam family "tRNA". From Rfam's summary of the family: Transfer RNA (tRNA) molecules are approximately 80 nucleotides in length. Their secondary structure includes four short double-helical elements and three loops (D, anti-codon, and T loops). The record is from RNAcentral. Lineage: Bacteria; Bacillati; Actinomycetota; Actinomycetes; Micromonosporales; Micromonosporaceae.
GGAGGGUUGGCCGAGCGGUCCAAGGCGACGGGUUGCUACCCCGAGCAGGUAACACUGCCGCCGGUUCGAAUCCGGCACUCUCCGCCA